UACGUAGGGGGCAAGCGUUGUCCGGAUUUAUUGGGCGUAAAGAGCGUGUAGGCGGCUAGAUAGGUCCGUUGUGAAAACUCGAGGCUCAACCUCGAGACGUCGAUGGAAACCAUCUGGCUAGAGUCCGGAAGAGGAGAGUGGAAUUCCUGGUGUAGCGGUGAAAUGCGCAGAUAUCAGGAAGAACACCCGUGGCGAAGGCGGCUCUCUGGGACGGGACUGACGCUGAGACGCGAAAGCGUGGGGAGCGAACAGG
Molecule: ribosomal RNA, 253 nt
Filed under: uncultured bacterium
Lineage: Bacteria
Description: partial 16S ribosomal RNA
Rfam family: Bacterial small subunit ribosomal RNA
Source: RNAcentral